This 669-nucleotide ribosomal RNA is filed under the name uncultured Actinomycetes bacterium. Its description in RNAcentral is "bacterial SSU rRNA". It matches the Rfam family "Bacterial small subunit ribosomal RNA", at positions 792 to 1464 of the family's 1533-position model. The record is from RNAcentral. Lineage: Bacteria; Bacillati; Actinomycetota; Actinomycetes.
AGUCCACGCCGUAAACGGUGGGCACUAGUUGUGGGAACCUUCCACGGUUUCUGCGACGCAGCUAACGCAUUAAGUGCCCCGCCUGGGGAGUACGAUCGCAAGAUUAAAACUCAAAGGAAUUGACGGGGCCCCGCACAAGCAGCGGAGCAUGCGGCUUAAUUCGACGCAACGCGAAGAACCUUACCAAGGCUUGACAUAUACAGGAAUAUGGCAGAAAUUCCAUAGCCGCAAGGUCUGUAUACAGGUGGUGCAUGGUUGUCGUCAGCUCGUGUCGUGAGAUGUUGGGUUAAGUCCCGCAACGAGCGCAACCCUCGUUCUGUGUUGCCAGCAUUUAGUUGGGGACUCACAGGAGACUGCCGGGGUUAACUCGGAGGAAGGUGGGGAUGACGUCAAAUCAUCAUGCCCCUUAUGUCUUGGGCUGCACGCAUGCUACAAUGGCUGGUACAAACGGCUGCGAUACCGCAAGGUGGAGCGAAUCCGAUAAAGCCAGUCUCAGUUCGGAUUGGGGUCUGCAACUCGACCCCAUGAAGUCGGAGUUGCUAGUAAUCGUAGAUCAGCAACGCUACGGUGAAUACGUUCCCGGGGCUUGUACACACCGCCCGUCACGUCACGAAGUCGGUAACACCCGAAGUCAGUGGCCCAACCGUAAGGGGGGAGCUGCCGAAGGUG